Molecule: ribosomal RNA, 528 nt
Filed under: uncultured bacterium
Lineage: Bacteria
Description: bacterial SSU rRNA
Rfam family: Bacterial small subunit ribosomal RNA
Source: RNAcentral
CAUGCCGCGUGAGUGAAGAAGGCCUUCGGGUUGAAAGCUCUUUUGUCAGGGAAGAAACCCGGCUCUAACACAGUCCGGGAAUGACGGUACCUGAAGAAUAAGCACCGGCUAACUACGUGCCAGCAGCCGCGGUAAUACCUAAGGUGCGAGCGUUAAUCGGAAUUACUGGGCGUAAAGCGUGCGCAGGCGGUUAUACAAGACAGGCGUGAAAUCCCCGGGCUUAACCUGGGAAUGGCGCCUGUGACUGUAUAGCUAGAGUGUGUCAGAGGGGGGUAGAAUUCCACGUGUAUCAGUGAAAUGCGUAAAUAUGUGGAGGAAUACCAAUGGCGAAAGCAACCCCCUGGGAUAACACUGACGCUCAUGCACGAAAGCGUGGGGAGCAAACAGGAUUACAUACCCUGGUAGUCCACGCCCUAAACGAUGCUGACUAGUUGUUCGGGAUUUACAUCCUGAGUAACGUAUCUCACGCGUGAAGUCAGCCGCCUGGGGAGUACGGUCGCAAGAUUAAAACUCAAAUGAAUUGACGGG